This 577-nucleotide ribosomal RNA is filed under the name Salmonella enterica subsp. enterica serovar Enteritidis. Its description in RNAcentral is "partial 23S ribosomal RNA". The stretch from base 1 to 464 matches the Rfam family "Bacterial large subunit ribosomal RNA", at positions 62 to 565 of the family's 2925-position model. The record is from RNAcentral. Lineage: Bacteria; Pseudomonadati; Pseudomonadota; Gammaproteobacteria; Enterobacterales; Enterobacteriaceae.
UAAUCUGCGAUAAGCGCCGGUAAGGUGAUAUGAACCGUUAUAACCGGCGAUACCCGAAUGGGGAAACCCAGUGUGACUCGUCACACUAUCAUUAACUGAAUCCAUAGGUUAAUGAGGCGAACCGGGGGAACUGAAACAUCUAAGUACCCCGAGGAAAAGAAAUCAACCGAGAUUCCCCCAGUAGCGGCGAGCGAACGGGGAGGAGCCCAGAGCCUGAAUCAGCAUGUGUGUUAGUGGAAGCGUCUGGAAAGGCGCGCGAUACAGGGUGACAGCCCCGUACACAAAAGCGCAUGUGCUGUGAGCUCGAUGAGUAGGGCGGGACACGUGGUAUCCUGUCUGAAUAUGGGGGGACCAUCCUCCAAGGCUAAAUACUCCUGACUGACCGAUAGUGAACCAGUACCGUGAGGGAAAGGCGAAAAGAACCCCGGCGAGGGGAGUGAAAAAGAACCUGAAACCGUGUACGUACAAGCAGUGGGAGCCCCACCACCAAAGCAUUUGCUGUACCGCGUUGACGGAGCGAAGCGACGUCAAACCGAUAAAACAGCAGUGUAAAGUGAGCCGCAGGGCGCUUUGCGCG